GAUGAACGCUGGCGGCGUGCCUAAUACAUGCAAGUCGAGCGGACAGACGAGGAGCUUGCUCCUUUGACGUUAGCGGCGGACGGGUGAGUAACACGUGGAUAACCUACCUAUAAGACUGGGAUAACUUCGGGAAACCGGAGCUAAUACCGGAUAACAUGUUGAACCGCAUGGUUCAACAGUGAAAGACGGUCUUGCUGUCACUUAUAGAUGGAUCCGCGCCGCAUUAGCUAGUUGGUAAGGUAACGGCUUACCAAGGCAACGAUGCGUAGCCGACCUGAGAGGGUGAUCGGCCACACUGGAACUGAGACACGGUCCAGACUCCUACGGGAGGCAGCAGUAGGGAAUCUUCCGCAAUGGGCGAAAGCCUGACGGAGCAACGCCGCGUGAGUGAAGAAGGUCUUCGGAUCGUAAAACUCUGUUAUUAGGGAAGAACAAAUGUGUAAGUAACUAUGCACGUCUUGACGGUACCUAAUCAGAAAGCCACGGCUAACUACGUG
Molecule: ribosomal RNA, 497 nt
Filed under: uncultured bacterium
Lineage: Bacteria
Description: partial 16S ribosomal RNA
Rfam family: Bacterial small subunit ribosomal RNA
Source: RNAcentral